Molecule: small nuclear RNA, 107 nt
Organism: Phyllostomus discolor (pale spear-nosed bat)
Lineage: Eukaryota; Metazoa; Chordata; Mammalia; Chiroptera; Phyllostomidae
Source: RefSeq, a predicted model, not a curated record
GUGCUUGCUUCGGCAGCACACCUACUAAAAUCGGAACAAUACACAAAGGAUUGAUAUUGCCCCUGUGCGAGGAUGGCACGCAAAUUCAUGAAGUGUUCCAUAUUUUU